RNAcentral lists this long non-coding RNA (549 nucleotides) under Sus scrofa (pig). RNAcentral's name for it is "lncRNA (ENSSSCG00050009717.1)". The record is from RNAcentral. Lineage: Eukaryota; Metazoa; Chordata; Mammalia; Artiodactyla; Suidae.
ACUGUACCCUGCACUGGUUGAGCCCCACCGUGCGGUUUGCAAAGUUUCAGCCCAGCAUCAGGAAGCUAAGUAGAGAAGCAUGGGUUUGGAGCCAGAGGCAAUGACCGCCAUGGGGAAGCCACCUCUCAACGGUGAAGAAACUGAAGUUCAGAGGGGUCGUGACUAGCUUUAGGUCACCCAUCUGCUGAGUGAAGAAGCCCAGACUGAUCCCGUUCUCUGGCUCCAGACAGUGCCUUUAACUACUGGACUCUACUGCCCUCUAGUGGAACUCCUGGUAUUGCGUUGUCUCACUGACACCUUGCUUUCAGAUGGUUCCAGUAGAUCUGGAAUUGGCUGAGUUCAUUCAGAUACUGCCGGUUCAGCCUCUCUGAUGAAGGUGCAGUGGGAAAUUCUCUAAGGUCUGAGUUCCCGUGGUGGAGCAGCAGAAAUGUGUCCGACCCAUGAGCAGAAGAAGAAAAAAUAUUGGAGUUCCUGUAGUGACUCAGCAGAAACGAAUCUGACUACUAUCCAUGAGGACACAGGUUCGAUCCCUGGCCUCGUUCCGUGGGG